AUACGUAGGGGGCUAGCGUUAUCCGGAAUUACUGGGCGUAAAGGGUGCGUAGGUGGUUUCUUAAGUCAGAAGUGAAAGGCUACGGCUCAACCGUAGUAAGCUUUUGAAACUAAGAGACUUGAGUGCAGGAGAGGAGAGUAGAAUUCCUAGUGUAGCGGUAAAAUGCGUAGAUAUUAGGAGGAAUACCAGUUGCGAAGGCGGCUCUCUGGACUGUAACUGACACUGAGGCACGAAAGCGUGGGGAGCAAACAGGAUUAGAUACCCUGGUAGUCCACGCCGUAAACGAUGAGUACUAGCUGUCGGGGGUUACCCCCCUCGGUGGCGCAGCUAACGCAUUAAGUACUCCGCCUGGGAAGUACGCUCGCAAGAGUGAAACUCAAAUGAAUUGACGGGG
This 394-nucleotide ribosomal RNA is filed under the name uncultured bacterium. RNAcentral describes it as "partial 16S ribosomal RNA". It matches the Rfam family "Bacterial small subunit ribosomal RNA", at positions 523 to 918 of the family's 1533-position model. The record is from RNAcentral.